CCCGCCUAACUUAAGCAUAUCGUUAAGCGGAGGACAAGAAACUAAACAGGAUUCCCUCAGUAGCGGCGAGCGAACAGGGACCAGCUCAGCGCCGAAGCCGUCGACGGGCGACCGUCGACGGCGGUGUGGUGCGUAGGCCCGGCGGACGUGCGAACAACCUGUCGUCGUAGGCUCCCUUGAUCGGGACGUCGGAGAGGGUGCAAGGCCCGUGACGACGCCGGUUGCCCGCAACGCGCUCGCCGGGCUGUCGAUUCGGGUUGCUCGAGAGUGCAGCCCAAAGCGGGUGGUAAAUCCCACCUAAAUCUAAAUACGACUACGAGACCGAUAGCGAACAAGUACCGCGAGGGAAAGUUGAAAAGAACUUUGAAGAGAGAGUUCAACAGGACGUGAAACCGUUCGGAAGCAAACCGAUGGAGCUGUCGUCGUUUGGUCGGCACUCAGUCGAAACGGGCCGCAGUGACGUUGUGCGCUGCCAGCCAGCCUCGGCCGGUUGGUCACGCCGCUGCCCACAAUGUACGGGCGCCGCACGAUGCACUUGCCGACCAGUGGCGUCACGAGCGACGGGCGGCGGAGCAUGGGCUCGCGCUCGUUGUCGCAACAACAACGGGUGCGCUGCUUGGCCCGGCGCGAAGAGGGUGCUUGGCGUGACCGCUCGUCGUUCACCGACGGGCGGCCCUCCGUCCUGUCACAACCGGCGCGCCGUUUGGCCGCAGCUCCGUCCUGACGCUUGCCGCCUGUCGCCCAGCGAAACGCGCGAGACGACCUUGCCGACUGGCAGUCGACGACGGUUCGUGCCAGCGGGCGACCGUUGGCCGCGCUGCCGACUGCGCUCCAUGCCGAGGCGCACGGCGGUCCCGGCGUACGUUCAACCAUUUUUGACCAGUCGCCCUUUAGGACCGGUUCACCCCGCGCUUCCUUCUGAGGUGGCUUGCGUGGUUGACGGUUGCGCUGUUGCGACGCCAGCCGACGCCUUCGACCAGUCGGCCGAGGCGAACUCUGUGACGUCCGCGUCAGUCGCUCAUCGGACCCGUCUUGAAACACGGACCAAGGAGUGCAGCUUGUGCGCAAGUCAUUGACACAACUGACUACGGUCAACGGCGAAACGAGAGUGCUCUGUGCGCGGCUCUUUUGCCCGCACCUCGCUGAUCCCGUCGCCGCCACCGCUGCUGCUGGCGGUGGCGACGGGCGCACAGCGGUGCCGCCGGAUCCGUCGCCGCUAACUUGGCCUUCGGGUCGACCAAGCGAACGGUCGGGCCUGCGGACUCGGAGCGCACACGCUGCUACCCGAAAGAUGGUGAACUAUGCAUGAGCAGGACGAAGCCAGAGGAAACUCUGGUGGAAGUUCGUAGCGGUGUUGACGUGCAAAUCACUCGCCCGACUUGUGCAUAGGGGCGAAAGACUAAUCGAACCAUCUAGUAGCUGGUUCCUUCCGAAGUUUCCCUCAGGAUAGCUGGCGUUCGCAUGCAGUUUUAUCCGGUAAAGCGAAUGAUCAGAGGUAUUGGGGACGCAAUGUCCUCAUCCUAUUCUCAAACUUUGAAUGGGUAAGAAGGCCGAUUUGCUUUGAGAAAUCGCGCCGCUCUUCCCCCGGAAUGCCUCGAACGGCUAGUGGGCUAGUUUUGGUAAGCAGAACUGACGAUGUGGGAUGAACCGAACGUCAGGUUACGGUGCCCAAUGUUCGGUGCUCAUCAGACACCAUGAAAGGUGUUGGUCGAUAUAGACAGCAGGACGGUGGCCAUGGAAGUUGGAAUCCGCCAAGGAGUGUGUAACAACUCACCUGCCGAAUCGACUAGCCCUGAAAAUGGAUGGCGCUCGAGCGCCGAGCCUGUACCUGACCGCCUCGGCAAUGUUGUUGUCGGUCCCGCGCGUGCAUUUGCGGACGACCGAAGGCCAAGCGGUGUUGGAAGAGGUCGCGACGGUGUGCGUUGAAGGUGUCGAGCGUGAGCUCGCCCGGAGCCGCCGUCGGUGCAGAUCUUGGUGGCAGUAGCAAUUAUUCAAGUGAGAACCUUGAAGGCCGAAGUGGAGAAGGGUUCCAUGUGAACAGCAAUUGCACAUGGGUCAGUCGAUCCUGAGAACGAGGCGAAAGCCCAGGCGCAGCGGUGUGACAUCGUUCCUUUGUUGGCCGUAGCCAGCAGCACGCCGUACCGUUCGAAAGGGAAUCCGGUUGAAAUUCCGGAACCGAGCCACGGAGAUGUACACCCGCGUCUCCGGCUGUCGCUUCCGCGGCGGUGGCCUCGUCGCCGCUCGCUGUUCGGUUUGCGCGGCUGGAAGUGCGCGGGACUGGUGCGCGCGGUAACGCCCUUGAACUCGGCCAGCAGUCGUCGGCAGUUCCGGAAAGAGUUUUCUUUUCUUCAUAAAGCACGCAGUCGCUGGAACCGGGUUGUCCGGAGAUAGCGACGAUGUCGCCGCUUAACGCCGCGUCUCCCGUGGCGUUCGGUACGCUCUCGACGGUCCGUGAAAAGCCGAGCUACGCCGUAUAAAUCCGUGCUCGCUCGUAGCCAUAUCCGCAGCAGGUCUCCAAGGUGAACAGACUCCGGCC
Trichuris suis (pig whipworm) is the source of this 2536-nucleotide non-coding RNA. The record is from Rfam. NCBI's taxonomy places the organism in Eukaryota, Metazoa, Nematoda, Enoplea, Trichinellida, Trichuridae.